RNAcentral lists this transfer RNA (61 nucleotides) under Colura ornata. Its description in RNAcentral is "partial tRNA-Leu". The record is from RNAcentral. Lineage: Eukaryota; Viridiplantae; Streptophyta; Jungermanniopsida; Porellales; Lejeuneaceae.
UCGAAAUCGGUAGACGCUACGGACUUAAAAUGGCGUUGGCUUUAAUAGACCUUGAGGGUUC